AGGGAAGGACCAACUGAUAUGUAACCCGGGUGUAAAUUUUAACUUCCAUUUCCUCAUUCUCCGAUUUUUCACUCUUUAGGCCCUUUAUCUCUCAAAUCUCGCGAUAGUUUUAAUAUAAUGUCAGCAAUUCUCGCGAGACUACUACACUGCCAAUCGCUGUCGAGUAUCGGGGUCACAUGUACUACUGCAGCCUAUCUGCUAGGUAUAUUAGCUAGAGCGGGGAAGUAUGAAAGAUUGGGACGCGUUGGGAGGAGCUGAGCUGUAGGAGCCAACUACAGUGAGCCGAGAGGAGAGGAGAUGAGAUGAGAUGAGAUGAGAAAAACCCGGUUGUGUGAGAUAUAAACUGAGGAAUUGGCCAGGUUUUGAUGGCAAGCUGAAGAUCCAGGCCUUGGGCCUAAGAACGAUUGCACUUUUGGUGCAUGAAGACUUCUGAUUCUCCUGCCAGGCUGGUAGGAGGCUCCUUGCAGCCAGCAAACAAUUUGUCCCCACUCUGAUCUGACUUAUAUCUCCGCAGGCUUCCACCUUCUGCCUGGAUGCUGCUGCAGUCGAUUCCUGCAGGAUGAGAUCGCUUCUAAAACGUCAAUAAAGAUCACGCACACCGCGACCAGAUGAAAUUCACGCAGUAGUCCCAGAAAUAAAAAUG
Molecule: long non-coding RNA, 643 nt
Organism: Girardinichthys multiradiatus
Lineage: Eukaryota; Metazoa; Chordata; Actinopteri; Cyprinodontiformes; Goodeidae
Exons: 3
Source: RefSeq, a predicted model, not a curated record